Molecule: long non-coding RNA, 987 nt
Organism: Apis florea (little honeybee)
Lineage: Eukaryota; Metazoa; Arthropoda; Insecta; Hymenoptera; Apidae
Source: RefSeq, a predicted model, not a curated record
UAUAUAUCAAAAUGAAAAAUGGUGCGAUCAAAAUGAUGACCAUUCACAUUGAUGCAGUAAUCUUCUCGAGAAUAUAUAUAUAUGUAUAAACAAUGUAUCAAAAUAAUAUAUACGAAGAAUUGAGAAAGUAAAUUUUUUAUUCACAUGCGUUAAAAUAAAAGAUUGUGAUCGGAAUGAUUCACUAUUCACACUGAUGCGUAAUUAAAUUUCCUCUAGAAAUAUAGAAAUAUACAAGAGUAUGUAUAAAAAUUGAAGAAUAUAUGAAGAAUACAAAAAAAUAAGUAAACGUUACUUACAAACAUCAAAAUGAAAUGUUAAUAAUAUGUGAUAUAAUAACCAUUUGCAUUAACGCAAUAUUUAAUAGCUUUCUUCAAGAAUUAUGUAUUUUUAUUUUUUAUUUCCGGCUGAAUUAUGGAUAAAAAUCUAACUGAUUGAAAUCUGAAAAACGUUAACCACUAAUUUUUUCUCAUUUUUCAAAGAAAAUAUAUAAAAGAAAUUUUAAAUCUAUAAUGAAACAGAAUCAGGCCAAGAUAGAAUGAAGUGCAAAAUGUUGUUUGAUUUCAUUGAUAUUUUUAUUACAAUAAUUCCAUAUGAAGAGAUGAAGAUAAAUAUAGAAAUGUCGAAGUAAAAAUGGAAAGUUGCGUGACAUUACAUACUAUUUUGUAAUAUUAUGUAAUAACAAUAUACAAUAGGUAGGCUAUACGGUAAUAUCACAAUGCAUGAUUCACAACUUCAUAAAAGUCUAGAGAAGAGAAUAUAAAUUUUAAAGAUACCAGGGACACGUAUCAUCUAUGCCCCUAUUUAUUUCUCUUAAAGACAAAACGUUAUUAUUAUUAUAUCAAUUAGAAAACGUACGAUGAAAAAAGUGUAUUCUUUUCCUCAUAUUCUUUCUUAUCAUACUGCACACACUUUCGAGAGAAUUGGAAAUACGCAUAUAUACGUACAAGUGUAUGCUUGUGUUUGAAUAAAUUCCAAUUCGUAAUUAAU